This is a long non-coding RNA of Corythoichthys intestinalis (scribbled pipefish), 2505 nucleotides long. RefSeq lists it as uncharacterized. NCBI's taxonomy places the organism in Eukaryota, Metazoa, Chordata, Actinopteri, Syngnathiformes, Syngnathidae. The record is from RefSeq and is a predicted model, not a curated record. The transcript has 3 exons.
AUAAUGCAACACAAAGGCAAGACAAAAGAUGGCUACAAGAGAUUCUAAGAGCACAUGGUGCUCCUUUGUGAUUGGCUGGGAGAUGACAUUCAUCGCAAUCCAAAGAAGAGCUGGAAAAUUCAGUCAUGUCACUACUGCAGCUGUUCUCUUCAACCACCGGGAUGAAAUUAAAUGAUGGGUUUCAUUCAAAUCUUCAGGCUUAAGAACAUCUUCUGAGAGGUUCAUUUCGGUUCGCAGUCGCUGCUCUAAAUUGAGUCGCAUGACGGUGUGGAUGUAGUGGGUCCGCACACGCUUGGAGUCAAAUUCGAGGUGUCCCUCGGUAUUUCCACAGCCGUCCUUAGUGCAUCCACACGGGAAGCUGAAGCGGUCCACCUGUGGGGGAAAGGGACCACACGAGGGUGAGCCUUAUAUCACAGAUGUCAAACACAAUGCCCGGAGGAAAGAUCCAGCCCGCAACAUCAUUUUGUGUGUCAAGUGACUGUAAACCUUGUGCUAAUAUAAAAUGUAGAAAACAUUUCUAGAGUUCUCAAUGAACGUUUGAGGACUACAGAAAUCUGAGAAUAUUUACCGCCACCCCUGCCCCCUCAAAAAACAUCUAAAGUGAAUAUAAAUGAAAAAAGAGUUUAAGAUUUUUUUUUAAAUAAAAAAAAAAAAUACAGAAUAUCUACUGUUUUGCCCGUUUUGCUUUUUUUUUUUUGUAAAUGUACAUGUAAACAAAUGGGUGGGAGGAAUAAAGCCCUCCCUGUCAAACUAAAUUGGAUGCCUAGCCUGGUCAAUGACAGUGCAACUUGAGAAUUCACAGCCAGUCCCUCCAGUUGAAAUGAAUUGGAUGCCUAUCGUUGUCAAUGGCAGGCAAGGAGUUAAAAAAAAUUUAAUUGCCUCUUACCUCAUAGUAAUAUGAAACUCUACAGUAACGACAAUGUAGAUCUUUUUGUAUUGGCGCAUUUCUGAUCGUUUCAAUAUUGAUAUUGCGUAGCACCCCCCCACUGGUGGUAGUGUUAUCAAAAGGGUGAAAACGAACCCGUUUCCCCCGAUUUGACGAGGUAUUUGGCUAAUUGUCAAAUACAGUACAAUGCUAGCAACACUAUAGUGAACCAUUAGCAUUACAACACAGACAUUUGCCUGACAUAACAGUGCUAAUCAGUGGACGUCUCAAAAAUUUGAUUUUUGCACCAAAAAUAAGUACACAAUGUUUAAGGCCAAAUCAAAAGAAAAUUAAUGUAGGCAGGUUAUAUAUACAGUGUAUCACAAAAGUGAGUACACCUUAACUUUCCCAGCGUUAUUUCGUUGUGUAAAUGCUUUUAUAAUGAUCAUAAAAAUAUGUAGAUUUUUAAACAUGAAGAAAACUUGCGGUUUUUUUUCUGCCAACUGAGAAUUUGUUACGAAAGCCACUUUUUUUAUGCACACAAAGGCAACACAAAUGUGAUCCUUUUGAAUCUUCUCUGUGUGUCAGCAAAACAGCAUGUUUUUUUUUGUUUUUUUUAAACUUUCCCUGUGUUAUUUCGUUGUGUAAAUGCUUUUAUAAUGAUCAUAAAAAUAUGUAGAAUAUUUAAACAUUAAGAAACGUUUUUUUCUGCCAACUCGAAGAAAUGAAAAUAAAUUGCUGCUGCUGUGUUUUUUUUCCCCGCGUCACUCCAAUUCGGGCCUGCAAAUCUAGUUAAUUGAUCGGGCUCGGGCCGGGUCGGGCUUCAAUACCAGCGGGCCGUGUCGGGUCGGGCUGGAUUUUUUUAGGCCCGAUCUAACCUCUACUAUCUCUCUGCUCUCUCGAUUGCAAAAAACUGAUAUUCCCUCAUGUUGAAACAGAUUGUUAUGGCUGCUAAAAUGCUGCUACACUUCAUUUUAAUUCAUUAUUUUUUAUUGUUAUGUGGUAGUUACUGAUUGCAUUUCUAAGUUUAUUGCACAUAUAUAGUGGGCUAGGCCUGCAUUUUACUUUUGUUCUACAUUGCAAUUUAGUUGAUGUUUUGUUUGCAACUGAACUGAUCCCUGGAUUGAUAUUGCGAUAAAGAUGCUUCUGCACUACAAUAUUUUCUUUGUCGCUUUCUUUAAUAUUUACUUUAAUAUUUUUAUUGAUGGGUCGUUUUGACUAAAAUACAGUGACUGUUAUUACUGAUUUUGCACUGGAGUUUAGAUGUUGCACUGUGUGAAAGGCUGCUACUGUGUGUAAAAAAAAGAGAAAGCCCUGGUCUCAAUCAAAGCACUAAUUAAAUGCUGUGAUUUAAAAAAAAAUUUUUUUUUUAAUAUAUAUACUGUAUAUCUGAAAGUAUUUUCAUUUGACUUCAACCAGGGAUGACACAAAAGCCAAUAAAAAGUUGUUUAACCCUUUAACACCUAAGCCUAUUUUGGCCGAAUUUGCAUGCCUUUGAUGUUGCCUUUAUUAUUUCAAAGAAAAAACUGUUCACAAUGGCCAAGUUGGGUCCCUUUUUCAGGAUACCUUGAACUUCAUGUCCAAACUGUUGUUUUCUUCACUGACCAACUUUAAUCCACAUUUUGGAUCCAAAAAGACAA